Molecule: ribosomal RNA, 775 nt
Filed under: uncultured Neocallimastigales
Lineage: Eukaryota; Fungi; Neocallimastigomycota; Neocallimastigomycetes; Neocallimastigales
Description: partial large subunit ribosomal RNA
Rfam family: Eukaryotic large subunit ribosomal RNA
Source: RNAcentral
AGAGAGAGACAUGCGCGCAUAUCAAUAAGCGGAGGAAAAGAAACUAACAAGGAUUCCCUUAGUAACGGCGAGUGAAGCGGGAAGAGCUCAAAUUUGAAAUCUUCAAGGUUCUACCUUGACGAAUUGUAGUUUAUAGAAGUGUUUUCUGUUAGUGGAGUUGGCUAAAAGUUCUUUGGAAUAGGACAUCAUAGAGGGUGAGAAUCCCGUAUUUGGUCAUUCCUCCUAGCGUUGUGAUACACUUUCAACGAGUCGGAUUGUUUGGGAAUGCAGUCCAAAAUGGGUGGUAAAUUUCAUCUAAAGCUAAAUAUUGGCGAGAGACCGAUAGCGAACAAGUACCGUGAGGGAAAGAUGAAAAGAACUUUGAAAAGAGAGUUAAACAGUACGUGAAAUUGUCAAAAGGGAAGCGUUUGACACCAGUGUUGUUUUUCCGAAAAUCAAUUACGAAUGUUUUAUUUUUGAGGAGUUAUGACUUCAUCGGCUUGCUCCUUUCUUUAUGAAACUUUCUUAAUGCACUUUUCGGUUAACAAGUCAACAUCAAUUUCUUUUGUUGUAAAAGGGUAUGAGGAAGGUGGCUUUCUUUUCGGAGAAAGUGUUUAUAGCCUUGUGCCUCUGCAAUCGGAGAGAUUGAGGUCUGCAGCGUAGAUCCUUCGGGGUUAGAUACGUUUGUGCUAAGCUAUAGCUUUUCAUAGACAACUUGUUGACUAUGUUUAGUCAUGUAGCUUACUCGCUGACGCUAUUUUACCUACGCUUAGGAUGUUGAUAGUCACAGCGUUAC